Molecule: long non-coding RNA, 1154 nt
Filed under: Salmo salar (Atlantic salmon)
Lineage: Eukaryota; Metazoa; Chordata; Actinopteri; Salmoniformes; Salmonidae
Description: lncRNA (ENSSSAG00000087824.1)
Source: RNAcentral
CUUGCUCUCACGUUGGCUGGCCAAACAGAUGUGGGAGAAGAUGAUCACAUCCAGUUCAUUUUUAAACUCACUGAUGAAUGCUCAUUCUACAUCAAAGUCCUGCCAUUCUACGUCAACGUUUGUUUCAAUUCCAUUGAUUGAGAAGUGUAUCUGUUGGACCUCUUGGACAUGCUUUACCCAGACCACUACAAUGUCUCUACAGCAGCGGCUGAUUGGCCUACGAGACCGGACAGUACGCCACCUUGUUCAUCCCCACACACACAGCGUUUGGCCUUCAGUUUUCAGAUGAGGCUGGGGGGGGGGAUCUGGGUGGAGGAAAGGAGUGUGCUGGCGGUGCUGUCAGAGGAAGCAGAGGAGUUGCUACAGCUGAGACUGGGAUCUGGACUACUCACCUUCAUCAGUACCUGGAGCCGACGCUACUCACUACCAACAGAUACACGUGCACAUGUACACACACAGUCACGUCCUCAUCCUCACCGCCAGGAGCUACGGCUGAUGAUGUUGAAAGACAUGUCAUUAGAAUGGUUGACGUGACAAAUAUGUCUCCUUACAAUGUUAUGAAAAUCCAUAGAGCGUAUCAUUUAUUUUGCCCUUAAGAAAAAGCUCAAUGACUAUUUCCACACGUAGACACUGUGGUUCAUAGGCACGAUGUCCUCUACAGUGGAGUGGCUCUAUACCAGUUGCCUACUGAUCCACCACAUCUCUCUCUGUGUGUCCUCUUCCUCUGGGCAGGUUUCAAGCAGUGGGAUGGAGAGUGGCACUGGCUGGCCCUGUCUGUCUCUCUGUCCAGACUGGAGGUGUAUGCUGACUGCUGCCUGCCAGACUGUAGACCCUGGAGGUCUCCACCCAGGGUCUCAUUCUGCUGGGUGGGGUCAUCCAGCCCUACCACAAACCCUUUACCGUAAGCCCACUGCUUUUCUGACCCCUGUGCUACGUUCCUCACAUCGGCCCCAGUCUUCCUCCCACCCCGGGGAAAAGAGGGAUUCACCAGGGAGGAAGGUCAAGUUUCAUGUUUGUAUUAGUCGUGACUACACCGUCCAAUGAAACACUUACUUGCAGGUUCUUUCUCAACAAUGCAACAACAAUAAGAAAUAAGAAAAGAUAAGAAAAAAAAUAAAGUAAUUGUCUUAGUAGAACAGAAUAAACAUUUGAGC